UGCAGAUUACGAGCCUUAUUCUCCUUCUCCUCCGCCUCCAACGCCAUCUCCUUCUCCUUCUGCGCCUUAUGUAUAUAAAUUCCUACCUUCACCAUCACCUUCAUCACCUCCUCCAUAUGUCUACAAGUCACCUCCACCUCCAUCAUCAUCACCUCCUCCUCAUUAUAUCUACAAGUCCCCAUCUCCACCGUUUCCUCCAUCUCCAUACUACCACAAGUCCCCACCUCCACCAUCUCCAUCAACUCCACCACCUUACUACUAUAAGUCCCCACCUCCACCAUCUCCUUCACCUCCACCACCUUACUACUACAAAUCACCCCCUCCACCACCUCCAUACUACUAUAAGUUCCCACCUCCACCAUAUUCAUCACCUCCACCCGCAUACUACUACAAGUCUCCACCUCCACCAUCACUAUCUCCUCCACCUCCAUACUAUUAUAAGUCUCCUCCACCAACUUCACUAUUUCCACCGCCACUUUAUUAUUACAAGUCACCACCACCAUCAUCCCCAUCCCCUCCGCCACCUUAUUAUUACAAGUCCCCUCCUCCACCAUCACCUUCUCCUCCACCUCCUUAUUACUAUAAGUCUUCAUCAGC
This 597-nucleotide long non-coding RNA is filed under the name Manihot esculenta (cassava). Its description in RNAcentral is "long non-coding RNA (MESC_LNC003713)". Lineage: Eukaryota; Viridiplantae; Streptophyta; Magnoliopsida; Malpighiales; Euphorbiaceae. The record is from RNAcentral.